CGAAAUUCCUUGUCGGGCAAGUUCCGACCUGCACGAAUGGCAUAAUGAUGGCCACACUGUCUCCUCCUGAGACUCAGUGAAGUUGAAAUGUUUGUGAUGAUGCAAUCUCCCCGCGGCUAGACGGAAAGACCCCAUGAACCUUUACUGCAGCUUUGCAUUGGACUUUGAACCGAUCUGUGUAGGAUAGGUGGGAGGCAGUGAAGCUAGGACGCCAGUCUUAGCGGAGCCAACCUUGAAAUACCACCCUGAUUUGUUUGAGGUUCUAACCUAGGAGCGUAAUCCGCUUCGGGGACCGUGCAUGGUAGGCAGUUUGACUGGGGCGGUCUCCUCCUAAAGGGUAACGGAGGAGUGCGAAGGUACGCUAGGUACGGUCGGAAAUCGUGCUGAUAGUGCAAUGGCAAAAGCGUGCUUGACUGCGAGACCGACAAGUCGAGCAGAUACGAAAGUAGGUCAUAGUGAUCCGGUGGCUCUGCAUGGAAGGGCCAUCGCUCAACGGAUAAAAGGUACUCUGGGGAUAACAGGCUGAUACCGCCCAAGAGUUCAUAUCGACGGCGGUGUUUGGCACCUCGAUGUCGGCUCAUCUCAUCCUGGGGCUGUAGCCGGUCCCAAGGGUAUGGCUGUUCGCCAUUUAAAGAGGUACGUGAGCUGGGUUUAAAACGUCGUGAGACAGUUUUGUCCCUAUCUGCCGUGGGCGUUGGAAGAUUGACGGGGGCUGCUCCUAGUACGAGAGGACCGGAGUGGACUCACCUCUGGUGUACCGGUUGUCACGCCAGUGGCAUCGCCGGGUAGCUAUGUGGGGAAAGGAUAACCGCUGAAAGCAUCUAAGCGGGAAACCUGCCUGAAGAUAAGUCUUCCUGGAGGCUUUGACCUCCCUGAAGAGUCGUUCGAGACCAGGACGUUGAUAGGUUGGAUGUGCAAGCGCUGUGAGGCGUUGAGCUGACCAAUACUAAUUGCUCGUGAAGCUUGAUCCU
This 971-nucleotide ribosomal RNA is filed under the name human gut metagenome. RNAcentral's name for it is "bacterial LSU rRNA". It matches the Rfam family "Bacterial large subunit ribosomal RNA", at positions 1960 to 2925 of the family's 2925-position model. The record is from RNAcentral.